CCCUUAGAUGUUCUGGGCCGCACGCGCGCUACAAUGAUGAAUUCAACGAGUUUAUAACCUUGGUUGAAAAGCCUGGGUAAUCUUUUGAACUUUCGUCGUGAUGGGGCUAGACCCUUGCAAUUAUUGGUCUUCAACGAGGAAUUCCUAGUAAACGCAAGUCAUCAGCUUGCAUUGAUUACGUCCCUGCCCUUUGUACACACCGCCCGUCGCACCUACCGAUUGAAUGGUCCGGUGAAAUCUUCGGAUUGAGACUUUGAUUUCUUCACGGAAAACGCUGUUUUAAAAAGUUGAUUAAACCUUACCAUUUAGAGGAAGGUGAAGUCGUAACA
This 329-nucleotide ribosomal RNA is filed under the name uncultured eukaryote. RNAcentral describes it as "partial 18S ribosomal RNA". It matches the Rfam family "Eukaryotic small subunit ribosomal RNA", at positions 1470 to 1796 of the family's 1831-position model. The record is from RNAcentral.